RNAcentral lists this small RNA (1932 nucleotides) under Pan troglodytes (chimpanzee). RNAcentral describes it as "retained intron". Lineage: Eukaryota; Metazoa; Chordata; Mammalia; Primates; Hominidae. The record is from RNAcentral.
UACUAUUUAAUUAUGAGGAGAGAACUCAACGACACUACCUGGGUCAUACAGACUGUGUGAAAUGCCUUGCUAUACAUCCUGACAAAAUUAGGAUUGCAACUGGACAGAUAGCUGGCGUGGAUAAAGAUGGAAGGCCUCUACAACCCCACGUCAGAGUGUGGGAUUCUGUUACUCUAUCCACACUGCAGAUUAUUGGACUUGGCACUUUUGAACGUGGAGUAGGAUGCCUGGAUUUUUCAAAAGCAGAUUCAGGUGUUCAUUUAUGUGUUAUUGAUGACUCCAAUGAGCAUAUGCUUACUGUAUGGGACUGGCAGAAGAAAGCAAAAGGAGCAGAAAUAAAGGUAAAUUUUUAAAAAAUCGAGUAUUGUCUUUUAGAGUACGUUACUUGUUUUGCAGGUAUUUGGAACUAUAUUGGUAUUAGAACUAUCUAUUCUUAAGUCGCAAAAGCAGAUCUACUAGCCACAUUCAGCAAAUUUAGUGAUUUGUCAUAAUCGUUAAGAUAUUAACACUAUAGUUAUACAAGAUAAAAUAGUCAAGCAACUUGAAGCAAUUUCAGUAUUUCAGACAUUACUAUAGUCCUGAAAUGCCAGAGUAGAUGGAUGUGUGAUCUCAUAAUUAAGACUGAACACACUUCUUGGUUUUCUUCUUUAAUAAAACAUGUAAUUUCAUUCCAUCUUUAAAGCUUUAGAAAUCUAGAGGAAAAAUUCAGUAGGAAUACGACUGAUGUAACUGAAGGGCUUAUGAUAAGUUUUUUGGUCUUAAUUGUGUUUGUAGGAUUAUUUUAGAAAAUUCAAUAGCAUUUAUAAUUGCUAUAAUUGCAUUAUAACUCUUUACAGUACAAGGGUUGAUCUCUGUGUAGAUCAAGCUGUACGUUGUAAGAGAAGAAUGUAAAAUGCAUUGAAGCUGGGUUUAUAUGAGCCAGAAAUGGACUUCUCCCUCUGACAGGCAUUUAAAAAGAUUCAAAGUGAUAGAAUGGCUUUAAAAAGUCUGUGUAAUAUUUGCCAUACUCUUAAAUAACAUCACAUUACUCUCCAACUCCUCUCUUAACAGUUUUGUUUUGAGUAAGCUUCAAGCUUUUAGCUUGUUGGGCAAAAAGAUUAUAUGAUGUUUAACUUAACAUUUUGAAAGAAGUAGAUUUGAUUGUACUUAAAAGGAAUAUAACUUGUCAGAAAACCUCAAACUUUAAAAAACAUAAAUGAAGAUAUAGAUUGACUUCCAGUUAUUCAGACUAAUUUAACAUUGAAACAUAGGGAAGUUGCAUGAAAAUGAAAUAUAUCAGUUUUGAUUCUUCAUAGUAAGGUUUACCAGAUGAAGUCUUGUGGUUUUCCUCCUACUGGCGAUUUCUCGAUCUCCUUUCCAGGACUUUAAAUGUUGGUGUUCUUCAGAGUUUUAUUCCAGAUGCUCCACUGAUACUAUAUGCUGCUCCCAUGGCCUCAUUUUCUAUCUGCUGAGUCCCGUAUCAGUUAUCUCCAGCCCAGAUCUCUAACAGGUUUAACUCAUAUUUCUAGUUGCAUCCUAGACAUCUUUAUUUGAAUGUCCUCUACCACAAAUGAAAAUCAACAUGUUCAAAUCUGUACAUAAUCAUCUUUCCUAGCCCCCAACCACCAGUUUCAUCCCUUAGUGAUUGACUCCGCAUUUCACCUAGCUACCUAAGCUAGAAACUUGGACAUCAUUCAUGGCUCUUUUUACCUCACUUCUCACAUCCAGGUAGUCAGGAAGUUCUCUAAACACCGUGUCCCAAAUAUCUGCAUUAUAGCACUUUCUAGUACAAGCGACUGCAAAACAAUUGAAAUUAACUUAAUCUGGCCAGGGGUAGUCAUUCACACCUGUAAUCUCAGCACUUUGGGAGACCAAAGUGGGUAGAUCAUUAGAUGUCAGGAGUUCAACACCAACCCGGCCAACAUCGUGAAACCCCAUCUCUACUAAAAAUAC